Molecule: small nuclear RNA, 63 nt
Filed under: Castor canadensis (American beaver)
Lineage: Eukaryota; Metazoa; Chordata; Mammalia; Rodentia; Castoridae
Source: RNAcentral
CAAUCAGUAAAUAUUGAUAUGCUAAAAUUGAAAUGAUACAGAAAAGAUUAGCAUGGCCCCUGC